UACCUUCAUCAACAUCAUCCUCCCUACUUUCAGAAUCAACAUCCUCAACAUCAUCAUCACCAGAUUCUUUAUCAUCCUCACCUUCAGUAUCUUCAUCAUCACCUGACUUUCCAUUCUCCUCACCAUCUUUACAUUCAUCAUCAGCCUCCCAAUCAUAUGAACCAUCAUCAUCAACAUCAUCAUUAGUAGACAAGAAGAAAAUGAGCACAGGUCUGCGUGUGUAUGUGCGCUCCAGGACUGAUGUGGAAGCAACACUACAGGUUUUGCAAAGUUUUCUCCUUGACAUGGAGGUCGUCAUGAGGGGAAAUAAGACUAAAGACUGCAAGAUACGAGUGC
This is a non-coding RNA of Danio rerio (zebrafish), 336 nucleotides long. The record is from RefSeq and is a predicted model, not a curated record. Lineage: Eukaryota; Metazoa; Chordata; Actinopteri; Cypriniformes; Danionidae.